RNAcentral lists this ribosomal RNA (253 nucleotides) under uncultured bacterium. RNAcentral describes it as "partial 16S ribosomal RNA". It matches the Rfam family "Bacterial small subunit ribosomal RNA", at positions 524 to 776 of the family's 1533-position model. The record is from RNAcentral.
UACGUAGGGGGCGAGCGUUGUCCGGAUUUAUUGGGCGUAAAGGGCGCGUAGGCGGCUAGAUGUGUCAAAGGUGAAAUCCCUCGGCUCAACUGAGGAACUGCCUUUGAAACUGUCUGGCUUGAGGCCGGGAGAGGGUAGCGGAAUUCCCAGUGUAGCGGUGAAAUGCGUAGAUAUCAGGAGGAACACCUGUGGUGUAGACAGCUUACUGGACCAUAACUGACGCUGAGGCACGAAAGCGUGGGGAGCGAACAGG